CUGUCAUGCAAAUAUUUGAUCUCGUAAUGAAUAUAUUAUGUGUAAAGUAGUCGCAAGCAAUUUGUUUACGAACAACCUUCCACUGUGCAUCUUAUCUUGAACAAGUCUAUUAUACCAAGUAACAACGAAAUGAAUUGUUUGACAUAUGUUGUCAUUAUGCUGAGUUUUUUUCAUUGUUUGAAAUCCUUGCCUGUCACAAACAUAGAAGCUGUCGAAAAACCAGACAAAACACUCGUGUCAUGCCGUUGCCAAACUUUUCCAUGGCUAACAGGAAUUCUACGCGAUAUGUGUGGACGAACUGAGCAAAUCUGUAGCAUUCUGCCAGGGGAAAGGAUUACAUACUGCUGUCAUCCAAGAUAAAUAUAGUAUUCAUAUUAAAAGUAAAUAUUAAUUUAUAUCCUCAUUGAUUGAUGGUCGAAGAAUGCAAUUUUGUUUCUUUGUAAUUAAAGUUGAUCUUUGA
Molecule: long non-coding RNA, 460 nt
Organism: Xenia sp. Carnegie-2017
Lineage: Eukaryota; Metazoa; Cnidaria; Anthozoa; Malacalcyonacea; Xeniidae
Exons: 3
Source: RefSeq, a predicted model, not a curated record